CUUUGAUUCUGGCUCAGGAUGAACGCUAGCUACAGGCUUAACACAUGCAAGUCGAGGGGCAGCGGGAUUGAAGCUUGCUUCAAUUGCCGGCGGCCGGCGCACGGGUGAGUAACGCGUAUCCAACCUUCCGUACACUCAGGGAUAGCCUUUCGAAAGAAAGAUUAAUACCUGAUAGUAUCUUAAGCACACAUGUAAUUAAGAUUAAAGAUUUAUCGGUGUACGAUGGGGAUGCGUUCCAUUAGGUAGUAGGCGGGGUAACGGCCCACCUAGCCAACGAUGGAUAGGGGUUCUGAGAGGAAGGUCCCCCACAUUGGAACUGAGACACGGUCCAAACUCCUACGGGAGGCAGCAGUGAGGAAUAUUGGUCAAUGGACGAGAGUCUGAACCAGCCAAGUAGCGUGAAGGAUGAAGGUCCUACGGAUUGUAAACUUCUUUUAUAAGGGAAUAAGCCCUCCCACGUGUGGGAGCUUGUAUGUACCUUAUGAAUAAGCAUCGGCUAACUCCGUGCCAGCAGCCGCGGUAAUACGG
RNAcentral lists this ribosomal RNA (528 nucleotides) under uncultured Bacteroidota bacterium. Its description in RNAcentral is "bacterial SSU rRNA". It matches the Rfam family "Bacterial small subunit ribosomal RNA", at positions 11 to 528 of the family's 1533-position model. The record is from RNAcentral. Lineage: Bacteria; Pseudomonadati; Bacteroidota.